CUCCUCCCAAACACCCCUUACUAAUUAUUACUAAAUUAAUCUAACCCUAAACAAAAAUUCUAACUAAAUCUAAUAAUUUUAACUACCCCUGAAACAACUACAUUCUAAAUACCUAUACAUAACAUAACCCUAGCAUUGCAAAUAAUAUUUAUCUAAAAUUAAUCUACAUAAAUCAACAAACUAAUCUAAACUGACUAAGGUACAUCUUUUUAUGUCUCAAAUCCACUAGACUAACUAAAAACUAUAUUUUUUUAUGUCUCCAACGAACUAAACUAACUAAACUAACUACUAGAUCUAUCUACUACGAGCUAAUCUAAACUAGAGGAUUAGAAAAAAAUACCUCGAACGAAGCGAGGAACGGGGCUUCAAUCUCCCCUCCCCUCCUCCCUCCCUCCCUUUCUUUCCCUUCUCCUUACUCCCUUCCUUCUUCUCUCCCUCCCUCCCUUCCUCUUCUCUCGCACGAGCUUUCUCUCCUGCUUUUGGGCGCGGGGGGCGGGGGUAGGGACCAAAUGAGUGGGCCUACGCUCGGGGGUGGCCGGGCCGUGCGUUUUAAAUGCUGGGGAGCUACCGCCGUUUGAACUGGUGGUAGCUUUUCCCGCUUCCGCUAGUUCAAAUGACGGGGCUUGCUACCGUCGUCUCGAACGGCAGAACAGCCUCGUCCCCCACACCGCUAGAAUCUAUGUGCGGCCUGCCGGAUGGGAGGGUGGUAAGCGGAAUUCCGCGCUAAUGUGGCAGGUACGGGGAGCUACCGCCGUUUCACCCGGCGGUAGCUCCUCUUACCGCUAGUUGAGACGGUGUUAGCCUGUUACCACUAUUUCAAGCGGCGGCAUAGGUUUAUUUUUACAAUUUUUUCGUUCUACUAUUU
Molecule: long non-coding RNA, 865 nt
Filed under: Setaria viridis
Lineage: Eukaryota; Viridiplantae; Streptophyta; Magnoliopsida; Poales; Poaceae
Description: long non-coding RNA (SVIR_LNC003231)
Source: RNAcentral